This 454-nucleotide ribosomal RNA is filed under the name uncultured marine picoeukaryote. Its description in RNAcentral is "SSU rRNA". It matches the Rfam family "Eukaryotic small subunit ribosomal RNA", at positions 110 to 565 of the family's 1831-position model. The record is from RNAcentral.
ACACCACUCUCUGGAUAGUACAGUUACUUGGAUACUGCGGUAAUUCUGGAGCUAAUACAUGCAUAAAGCCCCAACUCUCGAAGGGGCGCUUUUAUUAUAUCAAAACCAAACGGCUUCGGCUGUACUCUUGGUGAUUCUGAAUAACUUUGGGCUGAUCGCAUAGCCUUGCGCUGGCGACAUAUCCUUCAAAUGUGUGCCCUAUCAACUGUCGACUGUGGCAUAGACGCCCACAGUGGUUUUGACGGGUAACGGGGAAUCAGGGUUCGAUUCCGGAGAGGGAGCCUUAAAAACGGCUACCACAUCUAAGGAAGGCAGCAGGCACGCAAAUUACCCAAUGACCCAAGGUCGAGGUAGUGACAAAAAAUAACGAUAGCGGUCUCAUCCGAGGUACGCUAAUUGGAAUGAGUACACUUUAAAACCUUCCCCGAGGAUCUUUGGAGGGCCCAGUCUAAGU